Molecule: unclassified non-coding RNA, 346 nt
Filed under: soil metagenome
Description: partial contains 5.8S ribosomal RNA, internal transcribed spacer 2, and large subunit ribosomal RNA
Rfam family: 5.8S ribosomal RNA (bases 1-120)
Source: RNAcentral
GAUGAAGAACGCAGCGAAAUGCGAUAAGUAAUGUGAAUUGCAGAAUUCCGUGAAUCAUCGAAUCUUUGAACGCACAUUGCGCCCGCCAGUAUUCUGGCGGGCAUGCCUGUUCGAGCGUCAUUUCAACCCUCAAGCCCUCGGGUUUGGUGUUGGGGAUCGGCGAGCCUUUCUGGCAAGCCGGCCCCGAAAUCUAGUGGCGGUCUCGCUGCAGCCUCCAUUGCGUAGUAGUAAAACCCUCGCAACUGGAACGCGGCGCGGCCAAGCCGUUAAACCCCCAACUUCUGAAUGUUGACCUCGGAUCAGGUAGGAAUACCCGCUGAACUUAAGCAUAUCAAUAAGCGGAGGA